GACGAACGCUGGCGGCGUGCCUAAUACAUGCAAGUAGAACGCUGAGGACUGGUGCUUGCACCGGUCCAAGGAGUUGCGAACGGGUGAGUAACGCGUAGGUAACCUACCUCAUAGCGGGGGAUAACUAUUGGAAACGAUAGCUAAUACCGCAUAAAAGUGUUUAACCCAUGUUAAACAUUUAAAAGGUGCAAUUGCAUCACUAUGAGAUGGACCUGCGUUGUAUUAGCUAGUUGGUGAGGUAACGGCUCACCAAGGCGACGAUACAUAGCCGACCUGAGAGGGUGAUCGGCCACACUGGGACUGAGACACGGCCCAGACUCCUACGGGAGGCAGCAGUAGGGAAUCUUCGGCAAUGGACGGAAGUCUGACCGAGCAACGCCGCGUGAGUGAAGAAGGUUUUCGGAUCGUAAAGCUCUGUUGUUAGAGAAGAAUGAUGGUGGGAGUGGAAAAUCCACCAUGUGACGGUAACUAACCAGAAAGGGACGGCUAACUACGUGCCAGCAGCCGCGGUAAUACGUAGGUCCCGAGCGUUGUCCUGAUUUAUUGGGCGUAAAGCGAGCGCAGGCGGUUCUUUAAGUCUGAAGUUAAAGGCAGUGGCUCAACCAUUGUACGCUUUGGAAACUGGAGAACUUGAGUGCAGAAGGGGAGAGUGGAAUUCCAUGUGUAGCGGUGAAAUGCGUAGAUAUAUGGAGGAACACCGGUGGCGAAAGCGGCUCUCUGGUCUGUAACUGACGCUGAGGCUCGAAAGCGUGGGGAGCAAGCAAGG
Molecule: ribosomal RNA, 766 nt
Filed under: uncultured Streptococcus sp.
Lineage: Bacteria; Bacillati; Bacillota; Bacilli; Lactobacillales; Streptococcaceae
Description: bacterial SSU rRNA
Rfam family: Bacterial small subunit ribosomal RNA
Source: RNAcentral